RNAcentral lists this ribosomal RNA (681 nucleotides) under Triticum aestivum (bread wheat). RNAcentral describes it as "partial small subunit ribosomal RNA". Lineage: Eukaryota; Viridiplantae; Streptophyta; Magnoliopsida; Poales; Poaceae. The record is from RNAcentral.
AUGAGUUACAACAGCUUCCUCUUCAUCAGCAAAACCAGGUUAUGGAAAACUCUCUCACUGCUAGGUAUGAGCAAACUCUCACAGCUUAAUAAAUUCUAUAAGCAACGUAGCAAGAAGAAUUGGGUAAUUAAGGGUGAUUGUAAUACUAAAUUUUUUCACCAAGCUGUUCUUAAACAUAGAAAGAGAAAUACUAUUUGUUCAAUCAAAGAUGAGCAUGACAUAAUCCAUUUCAAACCUGUCGCCAUCAUGCAAACUUUUGUUAACUAUUUUAACAACAUGGACAUGCCUUUCCCUCUCACCCAAUGGUCUAAUGAUAAUGACAAUCCUACUUAUUUUGUCCCUGAUAAAGAUGAGAUUUUUCAGAUUCUUAAGGACAUGAAACUCAAUGCUUCUCCAGGGCCAGAUGGCUUCAAUGUGGAAUUUUAUUUAGCUACUUAGGAUUGGAUUGGAGAUGAGGUAACUCAGCUUGUGUCUAAUUUUUAUUCUACUGCCACUCUUCCUUCUCAUAUUAAUGACACCAAUAUUGCUCUCAUCCCUAAAAAGUUGGUCCUCUUGUGCCCAUGGAUUAUAGGCGUGUUAGUCUUUGUAAUGUGCUCUAUAAAAUCAUUGUUAAAUCUUUGGCUAAUCGGCUCAAACCUCACCUUCCAGAUUUUAUUGACCCUAUUCAACAAGCUUUAUUGA